RNAcentral lists this ribosomal RNA (253 nucleotides) under uncultured bacterium. RNAcentral describes it as "partial 16S ribosomal RNA". It matches the Rfam family "Bacterial small subunit ribosomal RNA", at positions 524 to 776 of the family's 1533-position model. The record is from RNAcentral.
GACGAACCGUACAAACGUUAUUCGGAAUCACUGGGCUUAAAGGGUGCGUAGGCUGUCCUGUAAGUUGGGUGUGAAAGCCCUCGGCUCAACCGAGGAAUUGCGCUCAAUACUGCAGGACUUGAGGAAGACAGAGGUGAGCGGAACUUAGGGUGGAGCGGUGAAAUGCGUUGAUAUCCUAAGGAACACCUGGGGCGAAAGCGGCUCACUGGGUCUUCUCUGACGCUGAGGCACGAAAGCUAGGGUAGCGAACGGG